CUUGUACAUUAGAUUUUAGAAGUUGUAUUACUGCGCUAGUUGUUAUUGGGACUACUUUCGGUUUUCCUCUUCUAUUUUGGAGUGCACUAUUGAUGUUGAGGUAUUCUUCUAUCUAUAUGGUUGAAACGUCGGUCCUAUUAUAGCAUUAUGAUUUUUAAUCUAUCUGAUGGUGGUCCUAUUAUAGCACUAUGAUUUUUAAUCUAUCUGAUGGUUGUGGCUCCGGCAUAGUUCAAAGAUUCGAUGUUAAUAAUUGAAAUAGCAUUGUUAUAUA
This 271-nucleotide long non-coding RNA is filed under the name Gossypium barbadense (sea-island cotton). RNAcentral's name for it is "long non-coding RNA (GBAR_LNC005732)". Lineage: Eukaryota; Viridiplantae; Streptophyta; Magnoliopsida; Malvales; Malvaceae. The record is from RNAcentral.